Neptuniibacter sp. Phe_28 is the source of this 97-nucleotide non-coding RNA. NCBI's taxonomy places the organism in Bacteria, Pseudomonadati, Pseudomonadota, Gammaproteobacteria, Oceanospirillales, Oceanospirillaceae. The record is from Rfam.
UGUUGGUCCUUCCGCAAUGAUAAAUCGUGAACCUGGUCAGGCCCGGAAGGGAGCAGCCACAGCGAUGGAUUCAUGUGCCGGAAUGUGGCUGGCGGGG